UAAAGCCAACAAAAAGAUAAAAGUGAUACACAUAUCUACUCUCACCCCCUCCCCCAAAUUUAUUACAGAACAUAAGUUCGAAAAUAAGUUUGGAGGGAUGAUGAUAUGUGUGUCACUACUCACAGAAACACAUGCUCCAAGGUGGUAGUAUGGACAAGGCGCGAUUUCCCGCAUCUUCCAAGCUCAACACUGCACUAAACUCCCA
RNAcentral lists this long non-coding RNA (205 nucleotides) under Salvia miltiorrhiza (redroot sage). RNAcentral's name for it is "long non-coding RNA (SMIL_LNC001968)". The record is from RNAcentral. Lineage: Eukaryota; Viridiplantae; Streptophyta; Magnoliopsida; Lamiales; Lamiaceae.